RNAcentral lists this non-coding RNA (28 nucleotides) under Rattus norvegicus (Norway rat). Lineage: Eukaryota; Metazoa; Chordata; Mammalia; Rodentia; Muridae. The record is from RNAcentral.
UGACAAUUUGCAAUGUGCACCCCUGCCU